Molecule: ribosomal RNA, 509 nt
Filed under: Spinolidia flavifrons
Lineage: Eukaryota; Metazoa; Arthropoda; Insecta; Hemiptera; Cicadellidae
Description: partial large subunit ribosomal RNA
Rfam family: Bacterial large subunit ribosomal RNA (bases 383-509)
Source: RNAcentral
UUUCUUAAGAUUAUAUUUAAGGUACUUUCUGCCCCAUGAAUAUAAUUUUAAAUGGCUGCAGUAUAUUGACUGUACAAAGGUAGCAUAAUAAUUAGUUUUUUAAUUAAGGACUUGAAUGAAUGGAUAAAUGAGGAAUUUACUUUAUUAGUUAUAUUUAUAUAAAUUUGUUUCUUGGUAAAAAAUCUAAGGUUUGUUUUAGGGACGAGAAGACCCUAUAGAACUUUAAAGUUUUAAUUUAAUUCUUUAUUUAGUAUUUACUUUAGGUUAUUUUAUGAAUUUUUUGGUUGGGGUGAUUAAUAAAUUUUAAACUCUUUAUUUAUCUCUUUCAUUUAUUUAUGUAUAGUUGAUCCUUAAUAAAGAUUAUAAGAUAAGUUACCUUAGGGAUAACAGCGUUAUUUCAAUUUAAAGUUCAAAUUUAAAUUGUAGUUUGCGACCUCGAUGUUGAAUUAAGAUAUUUCUAGGGUGAAGAAGCUUUAGGUAUAAGUCUGUUCGACUUUUUUAAUCUUACA